UGGGAUCAUACGCUCGGCAAACAACAGACCAUGAAAGCCACAACAAAAUGACUUCUGUGGUCACAAAAUCCCCUCCAACAUGAUGUCAUUAGUCACCCCAUUGUGAGCAUUACUGGGAGGGGUCUGGCUGUCACUACUAAGAGAGGGUGGUAAAAACCAACAGCGAAUACGAGGUGGCCCUGAAUCACAGGUGCCAGCACGGGUGACACAUCACUCCUGCCAACUUUUUGAACCUCCCCUGUGCAAAAGCAGUGACAUGCCAGCCCAGAGCCAGAAGCAGGCCACUAUACUUCUGAGCAGGCAUCAGCAGAGCACAGCCACCCUUAGAGCUGCACCCAUGAAGAAAUAGGUGGAGUACUGUGGACUUUACGUAUGCCACUCCACUGUCUGCAUCAAAAUCCACUUUGCAAAUACCUGGAAAUAAAUCUUCAACUUAACAGCCUGUAAGCUACAUACUGGAGCCUGUAUAACAUGUGCCAGUACUCAUGACCAUGCACAUCAAUCUUAACACAAAAAUAAUUCUGUACUUCCUUUUUCCCCAAUCGUCAUGCUUAUGGAAUGGUCACAUCCUAGGACCAAGAGAGCUCUUUCACCCGCUACACUGCAGAAGGGCAAAAGUUCGGAUCAUCUCAUUAAAAGAAGAAAGAGCAGAGUACAAAGGCAGACCUGGAUGUCUCAAGGCCAAGUUCAUUACGAUUCCCUGUGGAGAGAAAGGUUGAUAAUAAAAGCAAGAAUUUAUACCACAUUUAUAUGAAUAUUUUUGAGGGUCUUUGAGUGAUUGGGAUGCUUGCAUCUGGAAAGCAAAUGAACCAGGGUCUCAACUCAGCACCAUUUUAUACGGUGGACCAAGCAACACGGAAAAGUCUCAAAGUUGCAGCGGUAGUUACUGCUGCUUUCUACUUCUAACCCCACCAGCAGCCACAUCAUGAGAUAAUCAGAUUUUUUCAGCUUCUUGUGGUUUACCGUUUUGCCCCUCUCUACGGUCUUUCCAUAGGAUGUUCAGCAUAACUGCCCAUAGCAAAGAGGCUGCAAAAUGCAGACAAGAAAGAUUAGUACAUCAAGAAUACCUUUCUCACAUUCUUGUAGCAGUCACAGAUUUGAGAAGAACAUUAGGUGUAUAAAUAAGAGAUACAAGAAUACUAAAAAGAUGCCAUGCUACAAGUAUCUCUAUUUGAUCAAAGUAUAUUUUCCAAGAGCACCACUUCCACUGCUCACAAUUACACUCAUUCCUCUAACAACACUCAGAAAGUAAUAGAGCUGGACACACCACUCAGGGAACGACAGGAAAUUAUAUUAAGUUGAAAACAAGUUAAGAGCUUCAUUUUAUAGUGCAUCAAAUUCAGAACCACAAUGAAAAUGCAUGUACUACAGCCACUGUGCUAUCUCAACCAGAGCUUUGAACAAAGCACCGCAGCUUAGGUUUCAAGCCUUUCAUUAAGGUAUGCUCAAUGCAGAGCCUUAUCAUCUAAGCAGGUACACCAUGUUCUUGUGUGCGGCUCAUCUGUCUUUCCUGUACAAACAGCAGCAGCAGACUUUCCUGAACAAACCCAGUGGCGUUCACUGACCUGUGGUGGUUUCCCCAGCUGCAAACCCCAUUCCCUGUAAUGUAACAAGUACAGGCUUAGAGCAGUAAGAAAACCACGCAUCUGACUGGCUCUGCUUUAGUAUAAGUAGAAAUAUCCCUAGGAACUAUAUGGAUUCCUUAGCACUGAAUUUUGGAAAAUGCUUUGUUAAACUGUUCCUCAUUUCUUAAUUGUGUUACCCCCACACACCAUCAUGCCAGAGCCUGUAUGAGUGUCUGACGAGCCUGUGAAGCAACACGCAAGAUAGGCAAUUUCUAAACUCUCCACAGGUAGGCAAAAGACUUAUCUACGCUGUCAAAAACGAGCAUGCCUACAGCACUUGCAAAGUGACUUGUGAAAUAACUCAGGGUUUCAUCCUCUAUAUAAUUGCUCAACCUAGUUUUUCCACGAUAAAACUUAAGGUGAAAUUAUACCUUGCAAGGCUAUGGGAGGAUUUUAAAACAUAAGCAUAUUUUUAGAAACAAAAAUAAAUUUUCUGUCCUAGCAUAGACAUGACCACAGACUUCUCAUUUACAUUAAGUUUCUAACACUCUAGAGAAUCCUGAGCUUUGCAAAUUUAUUCCUAUGGAAAGCUUUUUAAAUGAGCAAGCAAAGUCCAACAGAAGAUUGAAAAGGAUCAUUUUCAGUGAGGAAAACCAGCAAACUUUAUAGGGUUUAUGUCAAUUAUCUUAAUUUGUGCUUUUUUAAUUUACUUGUGGUCCCCAGGACACCUAUGCUUUUCAAACCUUGCAUUUAGGGGAAAAAAUGUAGUUGUAUGUUUCCAGUUGGGGCCAGAGGUCUCUAACUUAUUGAUCAUCGUUUCCUCAAAAUCAAUCACAACUCAACUGGCAGUCUGGGAACACAACUCUGGAGAAGGGCAGAGAAUUUUUGGAGAAGGGCAGAGAGUUUCAGAGGUGUAUCCACACUGGUUUAACACUCUUUCCGUUUACAUGAGAAGUAGAUGACUGUUGAGUGCCUCUUCUGCGAGAUGAGCUAUGGACCAAUGCCCAAAACUCCCACCGACAUCAACAGGCUUACAGAAAGGGAGAGCAGAGCCCAGCAGCGCGGUUCUCAUGUGAGCCAACAAUAGAGAGGCUAUUCAGAGUUAAGGCAGAAAAUCAGAGCUCAACCCCAGCCCACGCCAAGGACAGCUGUGUUGUUGACAGCCAGGCUGGCUAUUUUACCACACCAAAGUUCUUCUCAAAAAACAGUAUUUCCUAGAGUGUUUGCUCUAGUCACACACUUGGCCUUAAAAGCUCAGCCAGCUUCUGCCCACUGAACACUAAUGGCUGCUGUGGUUUCAAGUCUCAGACAUGCUCUGGGACAAGCUGCCUGCUUUCAGUCUGUGGUAGCAAAACCCGAGCACAAAAGCCUGGCAUUGUCAGUUAAUCUGCACCAUCACAAGACCGCUCUGUUUCUGCCAUGUCCAAACCCACACCACCACCUCCCUCCCUCCCUCCCACUUGCAGGCCCCACCAGGACAUGGCAGGGUGCGAGUUGCACACCUGCAACACCACCUCUCCAACAUCAAUGCCAAGACGAGCUGGACGAGGAACGUGGCCUAACUUAAGAGAUAUAGGGCUACGCAGUGCCAGGGUAAAACAGGCUCUCACUUUCCAUUUCUUGCUACCAUCGUUUUCGUGUAGGGCUUUGAACAAGCCUCUUGCAGGCUGCUUUUGAAGCAGUAGCAGUCCCUGUUACCUUGUGGGUGCUGCCUGGUCACUGGUGUAAGUGCUUAAGUUGGUAUUCAACACUUAGUCGUGACAGCUGGGGAGGAACAAAGGAAAAGGCGUAACCCACUUCUUCCACUCAUUUCUGUUUCUCAAUCUAUAUAACAAAGUCAGGAAGGUGAUCAGAAGACUGACACCACCGCCACACGCUCUCUGGGCUACACCAGGAAUUGGCUCCAAAGAGCUGUUUACCCUUCCCAAUCACCUCAAGCUCACCUCACCCAUCCUCUCAAGAAGUUAACUGUAAGGUUUUCUCCUUUUUGGAGGUUGUUGCCACAAGCCAGAGAUGUAUCUUGUCAUGCCUGAGGAGAGAUCCAUUCAUCCGCAGACCAAAUACAACACGGGCAGUUACAGCAUAUGGCAAAGCCGCCUGCAAACUCCUUCCCUCCCCAGGCGCCGAUGAGAUAUUUGUAUCACAAUGAGCCACAUGCUGAGGGAGGAGCGGGGAGGGAGAGGUAUCGGGCCAACAAAACAGCCACGCUGGGACCCAACCCAGGCACUCCUUCUAGCCCAGACACACCAAGGACAAGGGAAAGGAGGAUAAUCCUGCUCUGUUCUAAGACAGCACUGUAGAGAAGGUCCUGACCUUCACUUACAGGCAACAUCUAUUAACUGGUCUUGCUGAAAAGUAUAAACAGGUUGCGGCAAAACUUCUUAAUCCGCCAGGCCCUUAAGGCUACUUGGGCUGAAUUCAGAGAGAGAGGGAGGGAGGACACGCCAGCAUUAUCCUUCUGCACUGUACUGUGUCAAAACAAGAAACAAAACAUCCUUUGGAAAACCUUCUUCAAAAAGGACCCGCAGCAGGCAACACACAAGAGACAGCACAGAUACACGCCAAAAGGAUGGCCACCCUUGGGUAUCCAACCCCGAGCCCGCUCUGCAGCGGCCACUCACCCCACCUCAAACCAGAUUUUGACCCGUUGUGUCGCUGCUGCAGUGAGGGUCUCCAGGUUUUGCUAAGAGGUGUUCUCUGGGGCCUGCUGGCAGCCCACCACCACCUACCACACCGCCCGCAGAUGUGGGGCACUGGGCUCUGCCUCCUGCUGGUUCUGGAGGUAUUACUCUCAGUGGUGCUUUGAGGGAGAUGAAAAUGAUAGAGCUCAGGAGCCCAACCUUGUCCGUUCAUGUGCAGAGAUUCUGGCAGCCACUUUCAGAUGGGAGCACCGUCUGGUUUUGCUUGUUUUGUUUUUUUUGCUCAGAGGUGAUGUGUUCAGGUUCAUCUUAGUAAAGAAACACCGCCUGCUUUUCACUUGCUGAGCUAGUGCACCUCUUCCAGUUACCCUGGGACGGCCCACCACAGGCUCCUUUGCCCCCGUUCGCUCCCUCCAGGCCCACCUACCCCUCAGGGUCACACCAGUAGCUGAGGCCUCACAUUAGCAUCACCAGCAUCACCCAGAACAUCUCCCUUUAGUCACAUCCCAAGGACACAUGCCAGUGGUGCCCAUAUGCCCAUUUGAUCUCUCCCUGGUCUGCAGCCAAAGAAACAGCUCUAGCCUAAUACCUUCUUACCAAGCUUUAGAGCUUAGAGAAAAAAGAAAGACAGCAGGGUUGGGAAGAUAGCCAGCAAGCCUGCCAAUCUAAAUGAUAAGCCGUUGGCUUUAACCUUGGGUUCAUAAUUUACUGCCUCUGGUGCCAGGUGCUAUUAUUGUCCCUUCGGGAACCUUAACACAAAAAGACACUAUAGUUCUUUCUACCCAUUCCUAUCCUCCUCUUCCUCCUCCUAUCCCACAGAUCUCUCUUCAAUACAUUCUCCCAAACUUCAGCCACAUCUAAUUUCCUUUCCUUACCCUCUGUUGCCUCAUCCAAGCUCUCUAGCACACUCCAAAUCACUCUGACCGAUCCAGUAACCACACUCUCCUUCAAGAUCCAAAGCAGCACCUCCAGGAACCAGGUUUCAGAUGUUUCCACAGACGUUCUCGCUCCUGGCUCAUGCUUGGACACAGCCCAGGUAGCACCUGGGCCCUGUGACAGUCCAGACAGCUAUAUUCACCAGCAUGCUGGCUUCCAGGAAGAGGUGGUGAAGUUACAUGGCUAGAUAUCUGGGGAAGAAGAGCCAGAUGAGUAUUUCCAGACAGAAGCACCCAUACACUGGUUCACUCAUCCAUCUCCCUCUUGAACUGUUGCCCCUUUGCACGUGUUGCAAAACCAGAUCAAAAAUGCCCUCAAGCAAAACAAGGAAGGGAUUAAGGGAGAACAGCAGCAAUGUUUGGCCCUAGAAAUGGACAAGCCAACACUCUGUGCCUGGGCUGACACAGUGGAGGAAGAUGUCCAAGGAGAGACGUGUGAUCAGAAUGGCAGUCUGCUAGCAGCACGCCUGAAACGUGAAGGGCUUCGAAGAUGAUUAGGGAGCUGGAGAGAAGUCCUGUGGGGAAAGGUGGAGAGAGCUGGGACUGUUUAGCAUGGAGACGGCUCAGGUAGGAUCUUACCAAUGUCUACAAAUACCUGAAGUGUACAAAGAAGAUGGAGCCAGGCUCUUCUCAGUGGUGCCCAGUGACAGGACAAAAAGCAAUGAGUUCAAACUGAAACAUGCGUGAACAUCAGAAAACAUUUAUGAGGGUGACAAAGCACUGAAACAGGUUAACCAGAGAGGUCGUGCAGUCUUCCUGGGAGAUAUUCAAAAGCUGUCUGGACAUGGACCUGGACAACUGGCUCUAGGUGGCCCUGCUGGAGCAGGAAGCUUGGACAAGAGGACCUCCAGAGGUCCCUUUGAACCUCAGCCACCCCAUGAGAUUGCUCUAACCUCCAUCAUGCUGAUGUAUGCUGAAAGUUUCAGAGUAGGACUGGGUUAGCCUACCUGGCUUGCCCUUGGCAUUUAGAAGCAGCCACCAUGGCAGCAGGUGAACUUCAGUGUUGCCAUCAGUGAAGUGAAGACAUCACUUACCUCCUUCGGGAAAGGAAAGAAAACCAUUACCUUUUCUAGGAAGCAGCUAGGCUAAACUCUACGUGAGUUACUCUCUACUCUGCUCUGAUUCAUCCAGCCCUGGCAGCACACUGGCACUUCCAUUACAGCGUGUUUUCGCAGGGAUUUGAUAGAAUUAACCAUCCAGAGCAGGCUCGGGGAUGCACAGCAAGAGACUGAGAUAUCUGCUGCCUGGCAGAGGCACAACCACCUCAUCCGGGCAGGGUGGGGUUCCCCAUGCCUUCCCCUUGCUUCCCAGACCUGGGUGUUCUCAGCAGGCACCCUUCCUUCCUUCCCUUCUGUAGGCAUCGGACUGCAAAUGCCUUCAUCAGCAAACCAGACGUCAGCUGGGGGGCACUGAGCCAAAGCAUCCUUACAACAGACGUCAAAACAGAAGAGAACAUCUCCUCGCCUCCUUCAAACAGGCAAAGAACGAGACACCCCUGCUGUGCCCGCUGCCCAUUCACGUGGCACACAUCCCGAGUCCCAGAGACUCCUGCCACAGAACUAUAUCCUAGAGCGGUCUGAUACAUUUUUUUUGUCCACAGACUUUCCCGUGCUAGGAUUGCCUUGCAGCACAGCAUUUGUUUCACAGGCUACUUCCUCACCGAAUACUGGCAGGGGUGAGACGGACAGGGGCUUUGGUGCCGGAGGAACAGCUGCUGCUGAGCAUUUUGGGAGGUAAAAAAAAUAAAAACAAAAUUGCAGGAGGUUACCAGAAGGUAGAUUUCUCACUCUGUAAUGGCGCAACCUGUUUCUGCAACAGUUUCCUUACGACGUUGCUUCAGCAGGCAAACUACCACGCUGAGGGACGAAGAACUGCUGCAGCCCAGCUUCUCAAACCUGGGGUGGACACGUGCUGGCACCGGGCCCCGGAGGAACGGGCGUAAGCCAUUACGUUCGGCACAGCCACUGAGCUCUGCUCGGUCAUUCUGGAGAGCGAGGCCCAGCACGGAGGGAGAUACGAAAGCAUCAGCAGCGCCAGCGCUAGGUUUUCCAGCAUCCCCCGAGCACAGAGAGGCGAGCUCAGGAGAGCGAACAGAUGAUAACAAUUUUCAGUAACUGACAAGGGCUGGAUUCAAACGGGAGGCCAAGAGGUGAAAAGGACUCACGAGCUCACACAUUCUCUGCCUGGAAGCUAUUUGUCAAGUCCCGGAGAGGCAGGCAAGGGCAAAGCCCAGCUGUGCUAAGGAUUUGAAAUAUCACCCUGGAUGCAUCACCAGCCCAAAGCCCAAGUACCUGGGCUCACACGCUGGUCCUUGCUCUCACCUUGCUCUCCCUGGCAGGGUGAGAGCCCACAGCUUGCUUUCCUGUAGCCUCUGUGUGACUAGUAUCACGCUGAAAGCAAGCUUUUGGUGCUGAUCGCCCUGCCAGGCCCAGUGCAACCAAAAUGCUGAUAUUCAAGCAUCCGGUAGAAGAACUGUUGGGCUUGAUAUUACAGCUAAGCCCUGAUCAGAGCUCACGCUGCCCCAGGCCACCAGACAAAGCCAAGACAAAGUUUUCAUCACCCGUUAAGCACUGAAACUAUUCACCUACCAAAAGAGUACAGCGUCUGCAGUGACAAAUCCACGUGCUAGUACAGGGUAUGUUCUCUUCUGUGCUGGCCCUUUUCAUCCUAGGGUCUCAAAGCAUUUUAAACAAUGCAUUAAGCCUCCAUUAGACGAUGGGUGCUUGAUACUAUCUACUCAUACAUGCAGUUAAAUCAUAACAGAAGCGUUUCACUUGCUCAGGACUACCUAAUCAUUUUAUAGCAUAACGUACCCAGGUAUGCAGACUCUGCUUUGUAUUUUAAAGUGAUGUUUUCCCUACUAGCAACCUGCCCACAGAGAAACAAGGACAACUUAGGUUUCUCUUCCUGCCAACCCAAAGCCGCCCUCCUUAGAUUAUGAUCUCCCUCCCUGCACACGCUGCACUGAGAUCUAUUUUCACCUGCUUGAAAAGUCAAAGGAGCUCCAGCAAGCCGUGCUAAAUGGCACAGGAGGAAAGGCCCUUUGCUUCCUCUCUAUCCCCUUACACAGCAUGUCAAGAACAAUUAAUCUCAUCCCCUGGAACAAGCUCAGCAGCUCCAAGUAGCCUUUGCAAUACCCUGGACUUGCUCACACCUCUGCCCACCCCCGUGCACCCUGGUGCCUCCACCUCAAGCCACCAAAGGACUUCCCUGCUCUCCUUGACCUCGUGAAUCAGC
Molecule: long non-coding RNA, 8376 nt
Organism: Cygnus olor (mute swan)
Lineage: Eukaryota; Metazoa; Chordata; Aves; Anseriformes; Anatidae
Exons: 2
Source: RefSeq, a predicted model, not a curated record